RNAcentral lists this ribosomal RNA (524 nucleotides) under uncultured bacterium. RNAcentral describes it as "partial 16S ribosomal RNA". It matches the Rfam family "Bacterial small subunit ribosomal RNA", at positions 355 to 895 of the family's 1533-position model. The record is from RNAcentral.
UGGGGAAUAUUGCACAAUGGGCGAAAGCCUGAUGCAGCAACGCCGCGUGAGUGAUGAAGGCCUUCGGGUUGUAAAGCUCUGUCUUUUGGGACGAUAAUGACGGUACCAAAGGAGGAAGCCACGGCUAACUACGUGCCAGCAGCCGCGGUAAUACGUAGGUGGCAAGCGUUGUCCGGAUUUACUGGGCGUAAAGGAUGCGUAGGCGGAUUUUUAAGUGAGAUGUGAAAACCCUAAGCUUAACUUGGGGACUGCAUUUCAUACUGGAAAUCUAGAGUGCGGGAGAGGAGAAUGGAAUUCCUAGUGUAGCGGUGAAAUGCGUAGAGAUUAGGGAGAACACCAGUGGCGAAGGCGAUUCUCUGGACCGUAACUGACGCUGAGGCAUGAAAGCGUGGGUAGCAAACAGGAUUAGAUACCCUGGUAGUCCACGCCGUAAACGAUGAGUACUAGGUGUAGGAGGUAUCGACCCCUUCUGUGCCGCAGUUAACACAAUAAGUACUCCGCCUGGGAAGUACGAUCGCAAGAUU